This 561-nucleotide ribosomal RNA is filed under the name uncultured marine group I thaumarchaeote. Its description in RNAcentral is "SSU rRNA". It matches the Rfam family "Archaeal small subunit ribosomal RNA", at positions 330 to 891 of the family's 1478-position model. The record is from RNAcentral. Lineage: Archaea; Thermoproteati; Nitrososphaerota.
GCGCAGCAGGCGAGAAAACUUUGCAAUGUGCGAAAGCACGACAAGGUUAAUCCGAGUGAUUUCUGCUAAAGAAAUCUUUUGCCAGUCAUAAAACCACUGGUGAAUAAGGGGUGGGCAAGUUCUGGUGUCAGCCGCCGCGGUAAAACCAGCACCUCAAGUGGUCAGGAUGAUUAUUGGGCCUAAAGCAUCCGUAGCCGGCUUUGUAAGUUUUCGGUUAAAUCCAUGUGCUCAACGCAUGGGCUGCCGAAAAUACUGCAUGGCUAGGGAGUGGGAGAGGUAGACGGUACUCAGUAGGAAGGGGUAAAAUCCUUUGAUCUAUUGAUGACCACCUGUGGCGAAGGCGGUCUACCAGAACACGUUCGACGGUGAGGGAUGAAAGCUGGGGGAGCAAACCGGAUUAGAUACCCGGGUAGUCCCAGCUGUAAACGAUGCAGACUCGAUGAUGCAUUGGCAUAAUAGCCAGUGCAGUGUCGCAGGGAAGCCGUUAAGUCUGCCGCCUGGGAAGUACGUACGCAAGUAUGAAACUUAAAGGAAUUGGCGGGGGAGCACCACAAGGGGUGA